This 1026-nucleotide small RNA is filed under the name Pongo abelii (Sumatran orangutan). RNAcentral's name for it is "retained intron". Lineage: Eukaryota; Metazoa; Chordata; Mammalia; Primates; Hominidae. The record is from RNAcentral.
CCUCGGGGCGUCUGUGCCUUCCUAAUUGGCUGUACCUCCUAUGGUUGGGAGACGGGUGUCUCCCAUAUAUGUGCGACUUGGCAGCUGUGACUUUGCUGGUGGCCCUGUGACUGUGCUGAUGAGCUGCUGUCUGUCGGCCCCAGGGUGCUGAUCACCCCACCUUGUGUGUGCGCACUGUGUGUAUAGUGUCUCCGUUGCAUGCCUGUGGCUGUACUGUCCGAAUUAUUUGGUGGGAUUUUCUGGUGGCGAAUGUGAGAGUGGAGACGUGCACUUGUCGCCUACCAUGCAAGUGGGACCUGGGCACUGUUCCUGUCGUGUGUCCCAUGCCUGCCGUUGCUGUGGAUGUGAGGCUGCUGUCCCUGUUGCCCUCCUGCCCUCUCUGGAGUGGGGUUGGGGCUCCUCCUCCUCCACCAGUGUCGCCGGCUGGGAGCUCAAAUGGUGUCAACUUCUCAGGUGUCACCUUGGUGUCCUCGUGGCCAACUGGCUGCCUGUGGCUUGGCACAUAGUGCCUGCGCUGGGUCAGCACUGAAGCCUGAGCUUCCUGGGGCGGCUCUGUCCCCACGCCCGCCAGAGUGAGGUUGAACUCGACUGUCUUUUGAUCCCCAGAGCUAGAGCCAGUGCAGGCCACGCAGAACAAGACAGGGAAGUACGUGCCGCCGAGCCUGCGUGACGGGGCCAGCCGCCGCGGGGAGUCCAUGCAGCCCAACCGCAGAGCCGACGACAACGCCACCAUCCGUGUCACCAACUUGUCAGAGGACACGCGUGAGACCGACCUGCAGGAGCUCUUCCGGCCUUUCGGCUCCAUCUCCCGCAUCUACCUGGCUAAGGACAAGACCACUGGCCAGUCCAAGGGCUUCGCCUUCAUCAGCUUCCACCGCCGCGAGGAUGCCGCACGUGCCAUUGCCGGGGUGUCCGGCUUUGGCUACGAUCACCUUAUCCUCAACGUCGAGUGGGCCAAGCCGUCCACCAACUAAGCCAGCUGCCACUGCGUGCUCAGCCCAGGACCCUUGGUGACAGAAGGCAGCC